CACGUAGUUAGCCGUGGCUUUCUCAUAAGGUACCGUCAAUUGAUAGUCAUUUCCUCCUAUCACCUUUCUUCCCUUAUAGCAGAAUUUUACAACCCGAAGGCCUUCUUCAUUCACGCGGCGUUGCUCGGUCAGGCUUUCGCCCAUUGCCGAAGAUUCCCUACUGCUGCCUCCCGUAGGAGUCUGGGCCGUGUCUCAGUCCCAGUGUGGCCGUUCACCCUCUCAGGUCGGCUACGCAUCGUCGCCUUGGUAGGCCUUUACCCCACCAACUAGCUAAUGCGCCGCAGGCUCAUCCAUCAGUGAUGCCAGAAGCAUCUUUAAACUUUCGUCCUAUCCGGUAUUAGCGAUCGUUUCCAAUCGUUGUCCCCGUCUGAUGGGCAGAUCACCUACGUGUUACUCACCCGUUCGCCGCUUCCCACCGAAGUGGUUCGCUCGACUUGCAUGUAUUAGGCACGCCGCCAGCGUUCAUCCUGAGCCAGGAUCAAACUCU
This 487-nucleotide ribosomal RNA is filed under the name uncultured Turicibacter sp. RNAcentral's name for it is "partial 16S ribosomal RNA". Lineage: Bacteria; Bacillati; Bacillota; Erysipelotrichia; Erysipelotrichales; Turicibacteraceae. The record is from RNAcentral.